RNAcentral lists this long non-coding RNA (7163 nucleotides) under Theobroma cacao (cacao). Its description in RNAcentral is "long non-coding RNA (TCAC_LNC002376)". Lineage: Eukaryota; Viridiplantae; Streptophyta; Magnoliopsida; Malvales; Malvaceae. The record is from RNAcentral.
UUCUAAAACCACAUAUUGCAACUCUCAAUUAUAAAUAUUUCAGUAAUGUUUUAUAGCAAUCCAAUAUUCACAUUUGUAUUAUUCUAACAUAGUAUCACUCAUUUGCCACCUUAAAGUGGCAUCAGUAAUCAAAUAUACAUAUUUGAUUUUUAACAUGAAUCUUAGUGGUCUUCAUUACCUAUACAUGUACACAAGCAUACGACUCUUGACCGUCAGCGGAGUGACUGUGGGUGAAGAUACAACUACUGAGUUGCCAUAGUACCUACCAAAAAGAUGAGCAUACGUGGAUCGCUCAAUCGAGGUCCCAACUAUCUUCAAAUCUGAAAACAUAAAGUUUAAAAACGUGAGUAUAAACUCAGUGAGUGAACAUAAAAAGGGAACAAGCAAUUGAUAAGAAGAAUUUGGAAAUCAUGAUGCACUUGUUUCAAAAACAAUGCAAUUAAUUUAAUUUCUUACUAAAAACCCCUCAUUUCAAACUUUGAUUAAUAACCUCAUAGUGUUGCAAAAACCCAAGAUCAAUCCAUGAAGUUAAAUGGGUGAAAAUUUUGUCAAAAUCAAGCAAGGUAGCAAGCAUGGUAGCAAGUUUCUUGCUGCAGCGAGAUUCAGGCGGCCAAAAUAGAAAGUUUCUCGUUGUAGGAAGAAACAGUAUUAGUUUGCAUGUGUUUCAAUUUUUCUAGAAUAUCUUUAGCUACAGAAGUUCAAUUGAUCUUUAUUUUAAAUCAUUAGAAAGCUAAGAGAUAGGGAUACAACUUUUAUGUUUACUACUUUUCCUAGUUAGGACGGGAAGAUGGUCAAAAUCUUCAUUGAAGUGAAAGCAUUGCAUCAGAACCUGAGAGUUUCUCGCUGCAGCAAGAUUUAUUUUCGCUGCAGCGAGAAACAGGGCUGGUUUUUGCCCCCACCACCCGAGAGUUUCUCGCUUCAGCAAGAAUGCAUUCUUGCUAUAGCGAGAUUCAGGGCAAAUGACAAAUAAGGGGUUUUCACAUGCCACAAAAUCCAUCCCUACCAUAUUACACAUCAAAGUGAACACAUUGAUAAUAACCAAGUUAUCAACAUUCAAAACAAUCAUAUAUUAUAAUCAUAAACUUGCUAUCACAUAUACAUAUAUAAACAUAUAUCAACAAGUACACCACCCCACUUCAUUCAUCAUCAUAGUCGGGUCAUCAUCAUCAUCGACUUAUGCGCACUCUCUACUCGCACAUAGCUGGGUCAUCAUCAUCAUCGGCUUAUACGCACUCCCUACUUGAACAUAGCCAGGUCAAUAUCAUCACACAACAUUAUUCAUCAAUGCACAACAUAUAUUCAUAUAUAUAUAUAUACAUACCAACAUAAUAUAGAAGCACAUGGAUUCAUCCUUUUGCACAUUUCACAUUUUAGCAACAUCAAAACAUUUUAUCAAGGGCUUGUUCCUCGGCACACAUUUUUAAAGAAAAGUUGGUUAAAAUCAUUCAAAUGUUUUGUGCAAAUACAUUCACAUUCCCAAAACAAUUUUGAAAUGCAAAUUCACUCACCGAUCUUGUUGAUUUUUUAAUCGAUUCUAACUUCGAUUAUUGCUUCAAACGGACAUGUGAGGCCUCGUUGGAUCCUAUCACACACACACGACAUCACUACCAACCCAAUUUGCAUAAAUACAUUUCUAAAAUCUAUUUCUUAAAUCAAGCUCUACUUGUUAUUCCUAACUAGCUUCCAAUUACCUUUUGAUUAGCUAUCUAUUCUCUCUACUCUAGUAUCACAAGAAAUAAAUAAACAAACCUCAGCAAUAAAACAACUCACAACUCCAAUUUCUAGCCAUUAUCGACCUAAAAUCAAUUUUCAUUCAUUACUCACCUUGGUGGAUUUGUAGUUGAAUUCUUUCUCAAGAAUACUCAAGCUAUCAUGGAAAAUCCCUCUUUCUCUCUCUAAACUUCCAGCUAGUGAGAGAAAGUAUGGAAGUAAGACUUUUCAAGGGUUUUAAAGUGAGAGAGUGAAAGAGCACAAAGGUUCUAUGAAAAAGUGCACAAAAGCAUAAAAAUUAGAGCUAGAGAGAGAGAGUUAUGGAAGUUGCAAAGCAAGCUUCCAUGGAGGAUAAAAAGAACAUGAAAUGGGAGGAAAAAGAAGAAGGAGAAGCUACUAGAAGCUGCUGGAGCUCAGAUAUUUAUGCUUCAAGUUAAUCCAAAUUUCCACCGAAAUUACCAAAAUGCUCUUAACAUGGUGGCUUUGUCUUCCUCCCAUCCUUUGUGCAACCUUUUUGCUCUUUUGACACCGAAAAAAAGUCCAUAAUAGUCUAAAGGUACUCGGGUUCACAAAACUUAAAAAUUUAGACUCGAUAUGCAAAAUGACCAUUUUGCCCCUACCGUGGAAAAUUAUCAUUAUUUUUAUCUUCCUCAUUUAUUUACCAUCAUAAACAUCAUUCAUUCAUUCCUUAAGCCUAUUUAGACCUUAAUAGCAUAAAAAACCCCACUCGUAGGAGCUCACCAAGAGAUAUUACAAAUUUACCCCUAGUUCGCAUUAUCGCGUCUAUUUUUGGUUAUGUGCCUAUGGAGAUCUAGAUUUCACAGCUUCACUUCUGAAUUACCCUUUUAACUCAGUAAUCAACCUCAAUUGGCAUCCGUAAACUUUAUUAGCUACUGUAUCAAAAUAUGGGGUGUUACAUUUGAGGUUUUCGAAACCAAAUCAGAGGUAAGAUUGAACCAUUUUACCAAUUGGUUUCAAAGUUAAUUGGUCCAAAAAUAAAAAUUUUGUUAUGGUUUCAGCUCAAAUGAUUUUCUUCUUAAGCUGCUAGAACCCUUGAAGUCUUUAGGGGAUUUAAAUAAACUAUAAGGUAAAGUUCUAACUACGUAAAGUCUUGGAUACUUAAAGAAAAGUAUGAAUUAUGAGUUAGGACUUAGACCUAGAGUUUAGUUGAAUUUUUAAAUGCUGAAAAUUUAGCUCUUAUAUUCUUGAUAGGGUAAAACUAAGCUUCAAAGAUUGCUAUUAAGCUGAAAAUUAACUAGUUAUGGAAGUUAUAAGUGAUUAGUGAGCUAUAUUGGCAACUCUAAGUGAGUGGGGUUAUUGUUGUACAUUAGAUAAAUGCAUGUAAUGCGUCACACAUGUCUAAGUUGUCACAGCCCAAAUCCUGGGCCAUGAUCAGUGCAUGGGCCUAAUGGGCAUAGCCCACUAAGCCCAAGCAAGCCUUUUUUAUGCAAACCCGAUCAUCAUUCCCAACCAUCAUUUCUAAAACCACAUAUUGAAAUUCUGAACUAAAAAUAUUUUAGUAAUAUUCUAUAGUGACCCAAAACUCACAAUUUUAUUAUGUCAAAAUAAUGUCACCCGUUUGCCAACUCAUAGUGGCAUCAGUAAUCAAAUAUACAUAUUUGAUUUUUAACAUGAAUCUUAGUCGUGUUCAUUACUUAUUCAUGUACACAAGCAUAAGACUCUUGACUAUCAGCGGAGUGACAGUGGGUGAAGGUACAGCUACUGAGAUGCCAUAGUACCUGCCAAGAGGACGAGCAUACGUGGACACUCAAUCUAGGUCCCAACUGUCUUCCAAAUUUGAAAACAUGAAGUUUAAAAACAUAAGUAUAAAACUCAGUGAGUGAACAUAAGAAGGGAAUAAGCAAUCGAUAGAAGGAAUUUGGAAAUCAUGAUGCAUUUGUUUAAAAACAAUGCAAUUGAUUUAAUUUCUUACUAAAAAAAACCCUUAUUUCAAACUUUGAUCAAUAACCUCAUAGUGUUGCAAAAACCGAUGAUCAAUCCAUGAAGUUAAAUGGGUGAAAAAUAGGUCAAAAUCAAGCAAGGUAGCAAGCAUGGCAGCAAGUUUCUCGCUGUAGUGAGAAACAGUCUCAAUUUGCAUAUGUUUCAGUUUUUCUAUCGUAUCUCUGACUACAUAAGUCCAAUUGACCUGAUGUUUAGACCAUUAAAAAGCUAAGAAGUAGGGAUACAACUUUUAUGUUUAUCAUUUUUCCUAUUUUGGAUGGGAAGGUGGCCAAAAAUUCAUCAAAUUGAAAGCACUACACCAGAACCUGAGAGUUUCUCGCUGCAGCGAGAAUCAGGCCAGUGUGACCGCCAAAACCAGAGAGUUUCUUGCUGCAACGAAAAUGAAUCUCACUGCAGCGAGAAACAGAGCAUUUUUAUUGAAAUGAGUCUUAUUACAUCAAAAGCCAUUUUCUUGUUGACAUGAAAAGCAAUUUGGGAGCAAUUAACAAUGCCAACACACAACGCAAUCACAAUUAUUUUCAUAAACUUUCUAUAACAUAAAUAUAUUUGCAUAUACAUAUAUUAUCAUGCAUACCAUCUUGCCACACUCAGCUCAUGUGCAUCCCCUCACAUCGUGCACAUAGUUGGAGCCAUCGUGUGCAUCCCCCUACAUCAUGCACAAGCAAUAUCAUCACCCACAUUCCCAUACCCUGUCAUCACCGGCGUGUGCAUCCCCUCACAUCGUGCACAAGCAAUAUCAUCAUCAACACUCCCAUACCCCGUCAUCACCGGUAUGUGCAUCCCCCCACAUCAUGCACACGUACGGUUAUAAUUAUCACACAAUAUCAACUAUCAAUGCACCAUAUAUAUAUAUAUAUAUAUAUAUAUAUAUAUAUAUACCAACAUAAUGUAGUGGUACAUGAAUCCAUAACAGCCACAUGUCACAACAUAGAGACAAUUUAUAAAGGGCUUGUUCCCAUGCAUAAUUUAAUGAAAAGCCAAGUAAAAUCAAUUAAACACUUCAUCCUAACACAUAUAAAUUUCCCAAAAACACUUUGAUGCAAGUUCUGUCACGACCCGAAACUCCCCUCGAGCCCGUGACAAUCAUCGCGAUGUCCCAAUCGACACUCAUUACUCGAAAUGUCAAUCGGAACCCCGCAAGGCUUUAAUAUCAGCUUCUCAUUUCCCUUGUGAGUGACCGUUGCCAAAUAUCACGUUCUAAAAGAUUUUAAACUAUUUCCAAAUCAAAACAAUAGAAAAAUAAUUUUUUUCUCACAAGGAUAUUUUGAUAAUUUUUCUUCAAAAAUCUCGAAAUCCGCUAAAAAUGUAGUAUGUGAGUACAAAACACAUAAUUCAUAAUCAAAAAUAAGUUUAAACAUCUAAAACGUUCAUUUAAAAUGAAAUUAUGAUUAUUAGAAUAAAAUAAAAAUAUUAAAUAAAAUAUUCCAUUUUCUCAUAAAAUAAUAUUUUUAGAACACUGCAUAAAUAAUUUUUACAGCAUAAAGCAAAAUAAAUUCAUAUAUAUUAUAAUACAGUCAACCAGAGUAUUUAGUUUAAUUUACAGUAACAAAUGGGCCCAUGAACGACCAAAAGUAUUAAAAGAAAUGAACCUACAGUUUUUGGAUGUGACAAGUCCAACUGUAGUCCUCGACAAUAUCAGUUAUCUACAAUCUAUUCUGAGCCUGAAAUGGGUGGAAAGGAUGGUGGUGAGAUUAUAUAAUCCCAGUGAGUAAACAAAUACCAUCUAAAAUAUCUAAAGCCGAGUAAAUGGAGACAGAUAAAAUAGUGCAACAUACUGAAAUUCAUCACCUUUCAACUUGUUUCAACCAAAUAAAAUCAAUUCAUAUAUAUCGAGUAAUCAACAUGGCUUAUGAAUUUCUUAAAAGAUUUGACUCGUGCCAAAACCAUUCUCAUACUCUGUUAUCAGGGAAACCUUGGCCACGGGCUAUCCCAAACCGAGUCCGCCAAGGCUAUUAAAAAGUUAUGUAGUCAUAAAUCAUGUUUUUAUUUUGAAAAUAUAGCCGCUCCUUGGUGUUGGCUGAGUUCGCCCUGACGUGGUGGUUUGGCAUGAAGUGAACUCUAAAAGUUAUAUCUCGGGAGUUACCCUACUUGCCUCUCCAACCAAGGUAAGAAUAUGACCAGGUUCCGUGCCCCUCAAAUAGGCUGGUCCACAGAACUAGCUCACUGCAGCAAGCUGAACCCACCAUACAAUAAAAAUUCAACAACAUGACAUGGCAAUUUUAUCAUUAUCUAGCCUAUCAAGGCAAACAACAGUUUAUACAUUUCAACCCAAAUACCAAUUCAGCCAUUCAUGCCAAUACCAUCAUAAGCCAAUCAAUUAGAACCAUAAAUUCACAAUACAUUAAAUGGUCUUCAAUUAGUCUAUUUGAAAAGUCAUUAUUCAAUUUUAAAACAAUUUUAUGAAAUCAUUUCACUAAAUCACAUUUUGUUUAUAAAAUCGAAAAAUUAAUCAUUUAAUUCAUUUUCCAUAAAAUUCACAAAAUCGGAUAAAAUAUACUUUAGAUCAUUAAGACGAUAGUAAGGUUACUCACAGUACUAGGAGUUCGAUAUACUCCUAUUCUCGAUCUUCAAGCACAAUCUCUUUACCCUUGUUAGAGGGCUCACCACCUAUACAUCAUACGUGACAUGAAUUUUAAUAAAUUGUGUCAAUAUAUCAUAAACUAUUUCAGGCUCUACAAAUCUAUAUGAAUGCACGAAAUGUGAUGCAAAAUGUCCGAAUAGCCCUUUAAAUACGAUAUUCGACCUAAUUCGCACUAUUCUCGAUGUAAUUGGCUAAAACCUCCAAUUUAACUCCAAAUCGAUUUCUUAACUUUCUACACUCCAAUUAUACUCAAAAUACCUCAAUGACUGUGAAUAUGAUUCAUUUUAUCAGUCCGAACCAUAAAUCGGACAUGUCUAUACAUUAGGUAAAAAUUCAGAUUUUCAUGCCAAAAUUUCCCAUUAAAUUUUUAGCCUCACCAAUCAUUAAAUACCACCAAAAUAUCAUGAAAUAUCAUCAAUUUCAGCCUCAAUGUCCUCCCUAGAAAAUUUGACCUCUUGUGGGUUUGUGAAGAACAAAGUGAUUCCUUGCUAGAUUUUCAUACUUUCCAUUACCAAACAACUAAAAACACUUAAUUAGCUUGAAAUCUAACAAAAUCAAUGCUCAAAACCUCUCCUCUCAAAUUCGGCCAGCAUGGGUUCAUCAUGCAAACUUGAGUUCUAAGCAUGGAAAAUGAAAAAGAAAGCAUGGGUAGUGUAAAUCACAAGAUAAAGUCACAAAAUUUUACCUUUAUUAGCUUAAUCCCUUGAAAUCCCACACUUUUUCUUCAAGUUUCCCACCUAGGGUUUGUGUUCUUUCCUUUCCUCUUCACUUCAUGCUUUGGCCGGCCAUAUGGGUGAGACUAAGAGAGUUUUAAAUAGAUUUUACAAGGAAAUUCUAGAAUAAUCCAAGCUUGACACGUGGCAUGUUUCCAUUGGUCCAUGUGUAAUACUUAUCCAUUAAGCAAUCUCUC